Molecule: ribosomal RNA, 301 nt
Filed under: uncultured bacterium
Lineage: Bacteria
Description: partial 16S ribosomal RNA
Rfam family: Bacterial small subunit ribosomal RNA
Source: RNAcentral
CAGUAGCCGCGGGAAUACGAAGGUCCCGAGCGUUGUUCGGAAUCACUGGGCGUAAAGCGUGCGCAGGCGGUUAUGUAAGACAGUUGUGAAAUCCCCGGGCUCAACCUGGGAACUGCAUCUGUGACUGCAUAGCUAGAGUACGGUAGAGGGGGAUGGAAUUCCGCGUGUAGCAGUGAAAUGCGUAGAUAUGCGGAGGAACACCGAUGGCGAAGGCAAUCCCCUGGACCUGUACUGACGCUCAUGCACGAAAGCGUGGGGAGCAAACAGGAUUAGAUACCCCCGUAGUCCCUGUCUCUUAUAC